UAUAUGAACUCACAAGGCGUUGUUGUGACCGUUGACGUCAGAUCUUUUGUAUCAUAAAUAUCAAUGGUAUCAUCCUGUAAACAUGGCCUGUAUUGUUUUUUUUUAUACUGGUAUUAUUAAUCAUUAGUUUUAUAAAAAAUAAUGUGAUAUUUUGUUACAACUUACGCGCACAUUUUUUGGAUUCUGUUACUGUAAUAAUUGUAAUUAUUUUCUUGUCAUUCGAUUCGUCAGAGACAGUGGUGAAGGGGCUUGGUUGAUUAAGCGGAGAAUUUUGCAGCGUCAGAAAAUUUUAACAUCUUACACUCAGGUAGGAGAUUUUUAUGUUCUGCUAAUUUCAGAAUUAAUGUGGGUGGACUUAAGUGGAUAAACAUGAAAUAACAUGCUUGAAGGUAAAAAUGUAUUGCUACAAUAACAACUCUCAUGUAAUUUAGAUCUUAGAAAAGAUCUAGAGGAUUGGUUAACCGAGUCGACAAUACGAAAGACAAACGUUGAUAUCGAAACCAUGUGGGUACAGUAUCGGCUGUUACAAUACCUACAGCAUCUGCAGUUAGAUAACCAUCGUGGAGAGGAUGUAAUCGAUAAUCGUUAUAUCGUAGACUGUUGUGACGAUAAAGAAAAAUUAUAACUACGUGACGAGCAUUGUGCACAAUGCCCGGGCACUGUAGUACAACGUCCGAUUUAUACACUUUGACUGUAACAUAUCGAUUAUCGACUGAUGACGAAAAUUUGUUGAUGUACGUAAUACGAUGUAUACGACCUACGACCUACGACCUACCAUUGCUGCGUGUUUACUUGUGUCGACUUUUGUUUUGUUCACAUGAUUUGCAAUUAUUUUGAUUAUUAUUGUUCCAUCCUAAAACUAUAAAUAAAGUAAAACACACAGUAAGA
Acyrthosiphon pisum (pea aphid) is the source of this 888-nucleotide long non-coding RNA. RefSeq lists it as uncharacterized. The transcript has 2 exons. NCBI's taxonomy places the organism in Eukaryota, Metazoa, Arthropoda, Insecta, Hemiptera, Aphididae. The record is from RefSeq and is a predicted model, not a curated record.